CAAAUCAGGUAGGACUACCCGCUGAACUUAAGCAUAUCAAUAAGCGGAGGAAAAGAAACUAACAAGGAUUCCCCUAGUAACUGCGAGUGAAGCGGGAAAAGCUCAAAUUUAAAAUCUGGCGGUCUUUGGCCGUCCGAGUUGUAGUCUGGAGAAGCGUCUUCCGCGUUGGACCGUGUACAAGUCUCUUGGAACAGAGCGUCAUAGAGGGUGAGAAUCCCGUCUUUGACACGGACUACCAAUGCUUUGUGAUGCGCUCUCAAAGAGUCGCGUUGUUUGGGAAUGCAGCGCAAAAUGGGAGGUGAAUUCCUUCUAAAGCUAAAUAUUGGCGAGAGACCGAUAGCGAACAAGUACCGUGAGGGAAAGAUGAAAAGCACUUUGGAAAGAGAGUUAAACAGUACGUGAAAUUGCUAAAAGGGAAACGCUUGAAGUCAGUCGCGUCGUCCGGAACUCAGCUUUGCUUCGGCUUAGUGCACUUUCCGGUUGACGGGCCAGCAUCGAUUUUGACCGCUGGAAAAGGGCUGGAGGAAUGUGGCACCUUCGGGUGUGUUAUAGCCUUCAGUCGCAUACAGCGGUUGGGAUCGAGGAACGCAGCGCGCCUUAUGGCUGGGGUUCGCCCACAUUCGCGCUUAGGAUGCUGGCAUAAUGGCUUUAAACGACCCGUCUUGAAACACGGACCAAGGAGUCUAACAUGCCUGCGAGUGUUUGGGUGGAAAACCCGAGCGCGUAAUGAAAGUGAAAGUUGAGACCUCUGUCGUGGAGGGCAUCGACGCCCGGACCUGACGUUUUCUGAAGGAUCCGCGGUAGAGCAUGUAUGUUGGGACCCGAAAGAUGGUGAACUAUGCCUGAAUAGGGUGAAGCCAGAGGAAACUCUGGUGGAGGCUCGUAGCGAUUCUGACGUGCAAAUCGAUCGUCAAAUUUGGGUAUAGGGNCGAAAGACUAAUCGAACCAUCUAGUAGCU
RNAcentral lists this ribosomal RNA (958 nucleotides) under Trametes versicolor. RNAcentral describes it as "eukaryotic LSU rRNA". It matches the Rfam family "Eukaryotic large subunit ribosomal RNA", at positions 1 to 952 of the family's 3401-position model. Lineage: Eukaryota; Fungi; Basidiomycota; Agaricomycetes; Polyporales; Polyporaceae. The record is from RNAcentral.